RNAcentral lists this ribosomal RNA (900 nucleotides) under uncultured Cercozoa. Its description in RNAcentral is "bacterial SSU rRNA". It matches the Rfam family "Eukaryotic small subunit ribosomal RNA", at positions 515 to 1452 of the family's 1831-position model. The record is from RNAcentral. Lineage: Eukaryota; Cercozoa.
UGAGUGUGGGUUACAUCUCCACACAAGGAUCAAUUGGAGGGCAAGUCUGGUGCCAGCAGCCGCGGUAAUUCCAGCUCCAAGAGCGUAUAUGCAAGUUGCUGCAGUUGAAAAGCUCGUAGUUGGAUUUCGGGUUUAGUGUUGAGAUAUCCCCAGGCAGGUCUCCUGUCUCUGGUGUGUUGUUUUCAAUCAACCCUCACUGAUAAAUAUCUUGUAUAUUUAUCUCAUUUACUUUGAACAACUUCGAGUGUUUCAAGCAGACGUUUAUGUUUGUAGAGCUUAGCAUGGAAUAAUGGUCUCGGACUGGGGUCGCACUGGGUUGACAACGACUCUGGUAAGGCUGGAGAGGGAUAGUUGGGGGUGCUAGGAUUCAGCGUGGAGAGGUGAAAUUCUCGGAUCCGCUGAAGACUGACUUAUGCGAGAGCAUUCACCCAGGAUGUCCUCUUUAAUCAAGAACGAAAGUUGGGGGAUCGAAGACGAUCAGAUACCGUCGUAGUCUCAACCGUAAACCAUGCCGACUAGGGAUGUGUGGGUGUCCGGUAUGGACCUCAUGCGAACCUUCUGAGAAAUCAAAGUCCACGGGUUCCGGGGGGAGUAUGGUCGCAAGGCUGAAACUUAAAGGAAUUGACGGAAGGGCACCACCAGGAGUGGAGCCUGCGGCUUAAUUUGACUCAACACGGGGAAACUUACCAGGUCCAGACUCUAUGAGGAUUGACAGAUGGAAGAUCUUUCUUGAUCUGGAGGGUGGUGGUGCAUGGCCGUUCUUAGUUGGUGGAGUGAUUUGUCUGGUUAAUUCCGUUAACGAGCGAGACCUCGUGGCGAUGGUUGUGAGUCCAUAUAUUCGUAUAUGCUUGACUCAGUCCCAUCCCGACACUCGGUGGGGAGCCGAGGAAGAUCGAGGCA